CUCUUUGUGUUACAUUUUCAUUUAAUUGAAUCAGUACACAAAGAGUAGCCAGAAACAUGAAAACCCACAAAGUGUCCUUUUUGUAAGGUUCGCCUUUCCUUUCAUGUGUGUAACUCGUGUAAGUAUUUCAACAAACUCUGUAAACUUUUGUUCAAAUUAAAAACUGAAUGAGCUCCAGCCAAUUUUGAAAAAUAGCUUACCAAAGUCAAAUGAAACCUUAAUUCUGAUUUGCCGAAUAUUUUUUCAGUCUCAAAUCAAAAACUACUUAUUAAAAAUACAGGAAAUAUU
Molecule: long non-coding RNA, 288 nt
Filed under: Mytilus galloprovincialis (Mediterranean mussel)
Lineage: Eukaryota; Metazoa; Mollusca; Bivalvia; Mytilida; Mytilidae
Source: RNAcentral